CUCUACAGCCAUGCUACCCUGAGUAAGCCUGAUCCCAUCUGAUCUCAGAAGCUAAGCAGGGUUAGGCCUGGUUAGUACUUGAAUGGGAGACCACCUAGGAAGCCUAGGUGCUGUAGGCA
Pteropus alecto (black flying fox) is the source of this 119-nucleotide non-coding RNA. The record is from Rfam. NCBI's taxonomy places the organism in Eukaryota, Metazoa, Chordata, Mammalia, Chiroptera, Pteropodidae.